This 83-nucleotide transfer RNA is filed under the name Pseudomonadota bacterium. Its description in RNAcentral is "tRNA-Leu". It matches the Rfam family "tRNA". From Rfam's summary of the family: Transfer RNA (tRNA) molecules are approximately 80 nucleotides in length. RNAcentral also lists the same sequence under 3 other names. Lineage: Bacteria; Pseudomonadati; Pseudomonadota. The record is from RNAcentral.
GCGGAAGUGGCGGAACUGGUAGACGCGCUAGCCUCAGGAGUUAGUGGUUAACAGCCAUGGGGGUUCAAGUCCCCCCUUCCGCA